This 22-nucleotide non-coding RNA is filed under the name Arabidopsis thaliana (thale cress). Lineage: Eukaryota; Viridiplantae; Streptophyta; Magnoliopsida; Brassicales; Brassicaceae. The record is from RNAcentral.
UUCAGCUCAAUAUAUGUCAAUU